This 75-nucleotide transfer RNA is filed under the name Nostoc sp. UHCC 0702. RNAcentral describes it as "tRNA-Val". It matches the Rfam family "tRNA". Rfam says of the family: Transfer RNA (tRNA) molecules are approximately 80 nucleotides in length. Their secondary structure includes four short double-helical elements and three loops (D, anti-codon, and T loops). Further hydrogen bonds mediate the characteristic L-shaped molecular structure. tRNAs have two regions of fundamental functional importance: the anti-codon, which is responsible for specific mRNA codon recognition, and the 3' end, to which the tRNAs corresponding amino acid is attached (by aminoacyl-tRNA synthetases). tRNAs cope with the degeneracy of the genetic code in two manners: having more than one tRNA (with a specific anti-codon) for a particular amino acid; and 'wobble' base-pairing, i.e. permitting non-standard base-pairing at the 3rd anti-codon position. Lineage: Bacteria; Bacillati; Cyanobacteriota; Cyanophyceae; Nostocales; Nostocaceae. The record is from RNAcentral.
AGUCCUGUAGCUCAACAGUAGAGCAAUUGCCUUACAAGAAAGAGGUUGCGGGUUCAAAUCCUGCCAGGACUACCA